RNA transcript from Gymnodraco acuticeps, 3646 nucleotides. It is a transcript of the gene named glycerophosphodiester phosphodiesterase domain containing 5b, with no coding region annotated. The record is from RefSeq and is a predicted model, not a curated record. NCBI's taxonomy places the organism in Eukaryota, Metazoa, Chordata, Actinopteri, Perciformes, Bathydraconidae. The transcript has 18 exons.
AAAAAGACCGAAAUACACUCCUCCCACUCAGUACAUUGAAUUACCGGUGAAUGUGUCUCUGCUCACACUGAUAACGCGGAGCUUUUAUUUCCAAAGCGAACCAAAACACACACAGAGGACGGAGAAACUGACAUUAUGAAACGGGACUUAUUUUGGCCAACGUUCCACCGUUGCCAUUGACACCGUCCGGUUUUCUCCUUUUGUUUUUCGGUGUAAAACUUCGGCUCUGUCAGCAUUUACCGCUACCGACCACCCACCUCUCACUCGGUACCUUUCACACGGGUUGUCCCCGUUUGACUUUCGGGUGUGGUGGCAUCUUUAACGGGCAGAAAGAAAAAAUAACUUCACCGUGUGCCGUAAAACGAACUGAAUCAAAGAAAAGUGGGAGCAGACAGGAUACCCCAUAGACAGUGGGAUGUUCGAGCUCUGGAUGCAGGACUGACUGAAGGAGCAUGGUGAAACACCAACCCCUCCAGGUCUAUGAGCGCCAGCUGUGUUUGUCCUGUAUCACUGGGAUCUACGGUUGCCGCUGGAAACGCUAUCAACGUUCCCAUGAUGACACCACCAAGUGGGAGCUGCUGUGGUCCAUCAUCCUCCUCUUCACCUUCUGUCUGCUGCUGGUCUGGUUCUACUUCUGGUGGGAAGCACAUAACGACUACAAUGAGUUUAACUGGUUCCUGUACAACCGCUCUGGGGAGUGGAGUGAUGGCACUGUUCCCAUCCUGGCCACCACUGCUGCUGGCUUCACCUACAUUGCAUUCUUAAUGGUUCUAGCACUUUGCCACGUUGCACUUGGGCAACAGCUAAAUUUGCACUGGCUCCAUAAGAUAGGAGUGACUGCUGCUCUGCUCACCACCGUUAUCGGGGUGAUAUCUGUCAAUCAAACAUGGGGGCAAGAGUGGGAUGUCAUCCCCAUCUCGCUGCAGGCCACAGGUCCUUUCCUGCACAUAGGGGCUCUGGCUGCGGUCACAGCGCUGUCGUGGAUCGUGGCGGGACAGGUCGCCCGCUCAGAAAAAACAAUGUUCCAGGUGGUGGUGGUGCUGCUGUAUCUCAGUGUGCUGCUGGGUCUCUACGUGGUGCCGCUGUACAUCUCCUCCCCCUGCAUCAUGGACCCCAGCACCCUCAAACAACGCCCUGAUGUCAUUGGCCACCAAGGAGCCCCCAUGCUUGCUCCAGAGAACACACUGUGGUCUUUCCAGCGUGCUCUGCAGAUGAACGUCACCGGGUUGGAGGCUGACGUGGCUAUCAGUGUGGACGGAGUGCCUUUCCUGAUGCACGACCGCACCCUGCGGAGGACCACAGACGUGGGGAAGGUGUUCCCCGACAGACACAUGGAAGACGCCUCAUCCUUCAACUGGACAGAUCUGCGGCAGCUCAACGCCGGACAGUGGUUCCUCAAGGAUGACCCUUUCUGGACGGUGCACACCCUGUCGUCGCGUGAGAAGCGGCUGAUAGCCAAUCAGAGUGUGUGUAGCCUGGAGCAGCUUCUGCGGCUGGCUUCCUAUCACAACAGCACGGUGGUUUUCCGGCUCAGGAGACCCCCUCCGGAGCACCCCUGCUACGACAGCUGGAUCAAUGAUACACUGCAGGCUGUGCAGGAAUCUGGGGUUCCUCAGAGCCUGGUGAUGUGGACUCCAGAUGAACACAGAGCUCAGGUGAGGCAGCUGGCCCCCGGUCUGAUCCAGACCUCAGUGGAGAAACGGAGACUCCAGCGCCUCCAUCUGGACGGCAUUAGCCGGCUGCUGCUCCGAUACAACCAGGCCAGCACGCAGGAGAUCGGAAACUUCUCCCAGAGUAACAUCAGCAUCACGCUGUACACCAUCAACGAGCCCUGGCUGUACUCGGUGCUCUGGUGCAGCGGGGUGUCCUCCGUCUCCUCCGAGGCCUCACAUAUACUCAAAAAGGUGCCUUACCCCAUCUGGCUCAUGAGACCAGAUGAAUACUGCCUGAUGUGGGUGUCUGUGGACCUCAUCUCCUUCGCUGUAGUCAUAGGAAUAUUCAUUUUCCAGAACUAUCACAUGAUCAGGUAUCGAACCAGCGGCAUGCGCAGCUACAACCCGGAGCAGAUCAUGCUGAGCGCGGCCGCCGUCCGGAGGUCCAGCCGAGACCUGAACGUGAUGAAGGAGAAACUCAUCUUCUCAGGUCACCCCCAGUAGCGGCCUGUGUGAUGUGCUCCACCUCCUCUCCAUGUUUCCACCAGCAGGGACUACUUCCUUUUAUUCCAUUGCAUCCCUCGUUACCUGACUACUCUCCGCCUACACUCCCCCUCCCCCCCUUCAUCAAUCCAUCCAUCCCUUCAUGCACCAAUCCUCCCCCACUGCCCCCCCCACUGGAGACUACGGCAUGUGUAGGGGAGCUCAUAGACGCCCCAGUCUGUCUAGACAGCCUCUAGAGCUGGGGGUCAAAGAGGUGGGGAAUGGAGUCGGCAGUGCGGAGGAGCUGUACGAAGACAACGGCUACGACUACUAAAGCAACCAGGGCAUCAGCCAGUGACCGACUUGUGUGGACAGACCACUCAUCAUUCCUCUGACCUCCACCUCUGUCCUGCUGAGAAACUGACAGACUGCUGUAUCUGAUGGAGAGAAAAAAACAACCACUCAGUUGUGUACAUUCUGUAAAUAGUUUUGAGUUUGCUUGUCAGACAUACUGUAUAUCACACGGGACUACACGCACUUUUUAUUGACGGGAGUCGCCAAAUCUGUGGCCCGGAGAGGCCCCUCUGAGUUACAAUUAACGCUUGCUUCACUUAAAUAUGUUUCCAGAUUGUUUAUUUUCAGCUAAUUUUCCAAAGCAGUUAAUUGUUUUUAACCACUGUUCUUCUCGCGGCAGAUUUGUUUAGCUUUUAACGAGGCUUGGACGCAGCAUGACACUCGCUAACCGCUCCUUCCAUCAGCACUCCACUGUGCUGCUGUUCAUUCAUAUUUAUAUUUAAAGAGAAAAACAAAAAAACACCAACAAGCUGUUUACAGAAGUCCUGCCUUCUCCUCCAGGUGAAAUAUUCACAUGGUGUAUGUAAGAUAAUUAUUUUUGAAAGAGCCUGAAUGCUCGCCCCACCUUUGACCAGUGCAUGUGACUAAUAAUCAUAUCAGCUGAUGUAUGUGUUGGGGGGGUGAAGAUUUGUGCAGUCUUGUUAUUGUGAAUGUGUUUGGACUUUUUUUUUUAAAGAUGUGAUUGUUGUAUAGUGUGUAUUCAGGCUGGGUAUAUAUGUGUUGCCCUGUGUGCAGUGCUAUGUUGAGUGUGUUAUUGUACAUACAAAGGUGAACCAGUGUGUUUGAUGCUCCAGCCAACUAAGCAUUAUAUUUCACAAAUAAUUAUUGAACAAUGUGACCGUGAUGAACAAAAGCAAUAUCCGGGUCAUGAUGGAAGUCAUGGCACUGCCUCUGAGUCGCAGGGCAGUCUGCAGUGUGUUGUUGUUGACAGCUGCAUGCAUCCACGUGCUGGUUGGUGUCAAACGGACUGCUGAAGUGGGUGCUAAAUGUGAAAAUAAAGCUCUAAGCUAUUUGAAGGGACGCUACAGGGAUCACAACAGGCAGCACAGGGUCAAGGAAAUGGAUUGCCUUUUGUGUUUUCUUUAUUUGGGUAUUACUGUGCCUCAGAAGUAAACAAUACAAACAAAUAAUCUAAUAAAGGAGAUUUUAAAAUGGCA